AUUAGUGGAUUUUCUGAGCCAAAGGGCAACAGCACAUCACAAGGUGGGGAACAGAAAGAGCUUUGGGAAGGAGUUCCUGACAACGCUGUUCUUAAGCCAAGCAAGAACACUGGCCCAAGCCACACAGUGACUUUCAUCAAGCUGCACUGGUCUUGGGACCUUGGUUCUUCAUCAUCAACAAAGAAGGAAAUGGGAGCUGGCAUGGUGGCGCAUCCCUGUAAUCGCAGCAGUUAGGGAAGCUGAAACAGGAGGACUGUUACAGGUGGGAUCAUGAGUCUGUUCAAGGGGAUCGGCUGUUUUGAGUUGAGGAGAUGGCAGGGCCUAGCGGGUGAAGCCCGAGCAGCCUCAUUUGCAGCCUCAUUCCCAUUGGUCGAUGGGAACUGACUUGCUUUUUGCAGUUUCACUGGACGUUGAAAUCACCAUGGCUGUUUGUUCCACUGCAUCACGCCCCAGCCUCCCAAUUUGUAAUCAGCAGCACUCAGGGUGGAAGACGGAAUCAGUCCCUGCUCACGGUUGUGGAUCAAGAUGUAAGAUGUCAGCUGCAUCUUUACUCUGACUUCAUGGACUCAAAACCUCUGAAACUGCAACUGAAACUAAACUCACUGGAAAAUAAAAUCCAAAAAGACAUGAAAAGGGAAGAGCUGGGCAGAAGGAAGUCACCAGGAGUGGGA
Long non-coding RNA from Mus musculus (house mouse), 671 nucleotides. RefSeq annotates it as predicted gene, 35922. The record is from RefSeq and is a predicted model, not a curated record. Lineage: Eukaryota; Metazoa; Chordata; Mammalia; Rodentia; Muridae. The transcript has 4 exons.